UACGGGGGGAGCAAGCGUUGUUCGGAUUUACUGGGCGUAAAGGGCGCGUAGGCGGCCACCGCAAGUCGACUGUGAAAUCUCCGGGCUUAACCCGGAAAGGUCAGCCGAUACUGCGGGGCUAGAGUGCAGAAGGGGCAACUGGAAUUCUCGGUGUAGCGGUGAAAUGCGUAGAGAUCGGCAGGAACACCCAGGGGGAAACCAGCCGACUGGGCAUUUGCUGACGCUGAGGUGCGAGAGCGUGGGGAGCGAACCGG
RNAcentral lists this ribosomal RNA (254 nucleotides) under uncultured bacterium. RNAcentral's name for it is "partial 16S ribosomal RNA". It matches the Rfam family "Bacterial small subunit ribosomal RNA", at positions 524 to 776 of the family's 1533-position model. The record is from RNAcentral.